Molecule: ribosomal RNA, 261 nt
Filed under: Triticum aestivum (bread wheat)
Lineage: Eukaryota; Viridiplantae; Streptophyta; Magnoliopsida; Poales; Poaceae
Description: partial small subunit ribosomal RNA
Source: RNAcentral
AUGGCAAAAGCUUGCAUACUCCGCGGUGUGGUGCUGGUCGUGUGCGCGCUCCUGCUUCUCUCCUCCCAUUUCCUGGCGGCUGAGCCGGCUGGCCGGCAAUGGGAUCACGGGAGAGGCGCCACGGUGGCUGCGACGACCAUGGCGAGAGGCCGUUUUGCGAGGAAGGUGUUGCGGGAGGAGAUGGUCCAGGCGGACGGCGACGUUGACAUUGCCGGCUCUAAGAGGAAGAGCCCCGGUGGCCCCGAUCCGCAGCAUCAUUAA